This 491-nucleotide ribosomal RNA is filed under the name uncultured bacterium. RNAcentral describes it as "partial 16S ribosomal RNA". It matches the Rfam family "Bacterial small subunit ribosomal RNA", at positions 29 to 506 of the family's 1533-position model. The record is from RNAcentral.
AGUGAACGCUGGCGGUAGGCCUAACACAUGCAAGUCGAACGGCAGCACAGUAAGAGCUUGCUCUUACGGGUGGCGAGUGGCGGACGGGUGAGGAAUACAUCGGAAUCUACUUUUUCGUGGGGGAUAACGUAGGGAAACUUACGCUAAUACCGCAUACGACCUACGGGUGAAAGCAGGGGAUCUUCGGACCUUGCGCGAUUGAAUGAGCCGAUGUCGGAUUAGCUAGUUGGCGGGGUAAAGGCCCACCAAGGCGACGAUCCGUAGCUGGUCUGAGAGGAUGGUCAGCCACACUGGAACUGAGACACGGUCCAGACUCCUACGGGAGGCAGCAGUGGGGAAUAUUGGACAAUGGGCGCAAGCCUGAUCCAGCCAUACCGCGUGGGUGAAGAAGGCCUUCGGGUGGUAAAGCCCUUUUGUUGGGAAAGAAAAGCAGCAGGUUAAUACCCCGCUGUUCUGACGGUACCCAAAGAAUAAGCACCGGCUAACUUCGU